RNAcentral lists this ribosomal RNA (262 nucleotides) under uncultured archaeon. Its description in RNAcentral is "partial 16S ribosomal RNA". It matches the Rfam family "Archaeal small subunit ribosomal RNA", at positions 748 to 1008 of the family's 1478-position model. The record is from RNAcentral.
AGGGUGUAAACGCUGCAGACUUGGUGUUGGAGGCCCUUUGGGGGCAUUCAGUGCCGGAGAGAAGUUGUUAAGUCUGCUACUUGGGGAGUACGUCCGCAAGGAUGAAACUUAAAGGAAUUGGCGGGGGGAGCACCGCAACGGGAGGAGCGUGCGGUUUAAUUGGAUUCAACACCGUAAAACUCACCAGGGAAGACUGUUACAUGAAGGCCGAGAUGAAGACUCUGCUAGAUUUUCAGAGAGGUGGUGCAUGGCGUCAGUGACU